AGCGAACGCUGGCGGCAGGCCUAACACAUGCAAGUCGAACGAACUCUUCGGAGUUAGUGGCGGACGGGUGAGUAACACGUGGGAACGUGCCUUUAGGUUCGGAAUAACUCAGGGAAACUUGUGCUAAUACCGAAUGUGCCCUUCGGGGGAAAGAUUUAUCGCCUUUAGAGCGGCCCGCGUCUGAUUAGCUAGUUGGUGAGGUAAAGGCUCACCAAGGCGACGAUCAGUAGCUGGUCUGAGAGGACGAUCAGCCACAUUGGGACUGAGACACGGCCCAAACUCCUACGGGAGACAGCAGUGGGGAAUCUUGCGCAAUGGGCGAAAGCUUGACGCAGCCAUGCCGCGUGAAUGAUGAAGGUCUUAGGAUUGUAAAAUUCUUUCACCGGGGACGAUAAUGACGGUACCCGGAGAAGAAGCCCCGGCUAACUUCGUGCCAGCCGCCGCCGUAA
RNAcentral lists this ribosomal RNA (449 nucleotides) under uncultured bacterium. Its description in RNAcentral is "partial 16S ribosomal RNA". It matches the Rfam family "Bacterial small subunit ribosomal RNA", at positions 29 to 523 of the family's 1533-position model. The record is from RNAcentral.